GGGARGAGAUAAGUKCUGMAAGCAUSKAAGCACGAARCUUGCCCCGAGAUGAGUKCUCCCUGACUCCUKGAGAGUCCUGAAGGAACGUUGAAGACGACGACGUUGAUAGGCCGGGUGUGUAAGCGCAGCGAUGCGUUGAGCUAACCGGUACUAAUGAACCGUGAGGCUUAACCUUACAACGCCGAAG
This 187-nucleotide ribosomal RNA is filed under the name Escherichia coli. Its description in RNAcentral is "partial 23S ribosomal RNA". It matches the Rfam family "Bacterial large subunit ribosomal RNA", at positions 2756 to 2925 of the family's 2925-position model. The record is from RNAcentral. Lineage: Bacteria; Pseudomonadati; Pseudomonadota; Gammaproteobacteria; Enterobacterales; Enterobacteriaceae.